Dermacentor andersoni is the source of this 738-nucleotide long non-coding RNA. RefSeq lists it as uncharacterized. The record is from RefSeq and is a predicted model, not a curated record. NCBI's taxonomy places the organism in Eukaryota, Metazoa, Arthropoda, Arachnida, Ixodida, Ixodidae.
CGGGCACCAUGUUGAUCAGCUGUCUAUUCAUUACGCAGCCCGCAAGCUUUUAUUGAGCGGCGAUGUGAUAGUUAACCCUGGUCCCAACGCAAGUUCUCAGCGCUGUCCUGCCUCCCAAGCCCGGUUGACAGAUGUUCAUAAACAACCCGAAGUAGCGGAAAUUCUCUCCGAACUCCUAGUUGAAGAUCUGCUACAAGAGCUGCGUCAAUGGACUCUGUGGCAGUGUAACCACGCACGCGUCGGAGUCUUUUGCGCAGUUCACCGAGCUUCAGCCGGGGCCUGCGAAGCGUGCCACGUGGACAUUAUGCGCCGCAUCAGUGGAGGAACUGUCUUGUGUUCUUGCGGCACUUGCGACGAUGUGCGAGAUGACGCCCGGGCAGUUUCGUGCUUCACCGCAAUGCUACGAGCGAAGAACUAAAGUGGUAUCCUUCACGGGAACGCGCAAUGACGAAAAAAAGAACUGUAGGGCGUGCCAAAGUAUUUCCAUUUUUCAUCCGCUCAGUCUUAAUGGCCAACGACAACAAAAUUGUGGGCCAAGUGAGAAUGCCUAGCUCGAGAUAAUGUAGCUAAAAAGCAGCCUUGUUUCGCAAUUUCUGCAUUCGGAGUACGAACGGUUGAGUCACAAGAAAUUCCCAAAUUAGAUGUUUUUGUUAACGAAACUGAAAAAAUAACACCACCAUUAGCGCUCGCUGGAAGUGAUGCGUUUCCCAGAACGUCCUUCUACUGAACGUGGCCUGC